Molecule: ribosomal RNA, 492 nt
Filed under: uncultured bacterium
Lineage: Bacteria
Description: partial 16S ribosomal RNA
Rfam family: Bacterial small subunit ribosomal RNA
Source: RNAcentral
AGUGAACGCUGGCGGUAGGCCUAACACAUGCAAGUCGAACGGCAGCACAGUAAGAGCUUGCUCUUACGGGUGGCGAGUGGCGGACGGGUGAGGAAUACAUCGGAAUCUACUUUUUCGUGGGGGAUAACGUAGGGAAACUUACGCUAAUACCGCAUACGCCCUACGGGUGAAAGCAGGGGAUCUUCGGACCUUGCGCGAUUGAAUGAGCCGAUGUCGGAUUAGCUAGUUGGCGGGGUAAAGGCCCACCAAGGCGACGAUCCGUAGCUGGUCUGAGAGGAUGAUAGGCCACACUGGAGCGGAGACACGGACCAGACUCCUACGGGAGGCAGCAGUGGGGAAUAUUAGACAAUGGGCGCAAGCCUGAUCCAGCCAGACCGCGUGGGUGAAGAAGGCCUUCGGGUUGUAAAGCCCUUUUGUUGGGAAAGAAAAGCAGCAGGUUAAUACCCCGCUGUUCUGACGGUACCCAAAGAAUAAGCACCGGCUAACUUCGUG